GAGGCACAAAACGAGUAGAGAUAGAGGCACAUAACUAGUAGACCACACACUCAGCGCACCCAGUCGUACCCAGCAGCCUCAUUCCCCUCCCUCACGCCUCACUACCUCCCCCUCAAACCUCAACAAGAGACCACACAGCGCACUCCAGCCUCUGCUCCCCUCCUUCACGCCUCAUGGGUCACUACCCCACCCUCAAGUCAACACUCAACACAAGUAGAAACACACACACACACACAGCUGCAACCAACACACGCUCGCCACAAUCACCGCCGACACCAACCGCCAGCUGAUCUACUGCUCUGUGAGGACCGUGACCAAAUCUGCUGCUACCGCCUACUGAUUGUUGUCUCCGCACCUCCACACACUUCAUUACCAAGUUUCUCCUCUAAGUUCCAUACAAAAUCCAGCAAACGGCAGCCCAAUUUUUGUUUCGAGUUUGGAUUUUUGAGUUUAGUUCAAAUACAAAUAGUUGUAAUGUGUAAUAUAUUAUAUAACGUAUGUUAACGUUGAUUAGGAAUUGGUUUUGUUUAAUUCUCCAUAUUCCACUAUAAGUGAGGAGAGGAUAGGAAAAGAAAAGAAAAAAAAAAGGCAGCAUUUGAUUUCUAGUAACACCACACCUACAUAAUAACGAAAAUAAAUUGGGCCAUCGGGGUGAUGAAUAAGAAUUGAAAAAAAAAUUGUGAAAAUGUUGGAUUAUUGGCACCUCUUCAUUAAUCUUAUAAAACCCCUAUUAUAUACAAUUAUAUUUAAGGACAUAUUAUUAGAAUUAACCCCAUUUAUAUUUUCUCUUUCUCGUUGUAUGGUUUUUUUUUCUUCUUUUCAAUUUCAAAUAUAAUUUGUUCCAAAGCAGCUCAAAGUCUCGAUUUUUUUUCUUUUGAAACUAAAUAAUCCAAAGUUUUUGUUUUAUACACAAAAAUAACUAAAGUUUUAAUAACCUUUUAUCUAAUAUCUUUCAAUUGGACAAGAAUCUCAAUAAAUAAUUGUUAUGUAAGAUAAAUGAAAGAAAAAGCACAAAAUAAAUUUUAAUAAUUAACUUAGUGGUCAAUAAAAACUAAACUCAGUGUUAAAUCCUAAUCUCUUUCAACCCCUUUUUUUUUUCACCUCACUAUCAAGAAUCCUGCAGGGUAAUAGCCUAGUCUUGACUUUGAAUUAACGCUGGCCCUCUCAAGUCUUCAAGUUGUUAUCCUGUACACAUUCAAAAACGAUUGAUAUUAAUUGGACCCACGGAAGUCUUAACUGAACAUUAAUUGGAAGAAAGAUAGAGGAGGUUUCCUUGAAAAAUACUUCCAAUAAUUUUGAAAGGGAUAGAGCCGUUUGUUGGCCUAAUUUUCAAUUGUUAUUUGUAUGGUGAGGAGGCAAGUGGGGACACUGGGCAGUAGGGGUGGGCAAAAUAACCAAUCCGACCCGAUUCGAUCCGAAAAAAAUUGGGUUCAGAUCGGAUCGGAUUGACCAUAAUAUCCGAUCGGAUCAAAUGUUGCCAACCCGAUCGGAUCGUGAUCAGAUCGGGUGAAAUUUGAUCCAAUCCGAUAACCUGAAUGGGUUGGCUUAAGGAAGAAAGUGAACAACCCACACUGAUAUAGCACACAUGCAUCCAACAACAAGCAGUCAAGCACUAGUGACGCCGCAGAGCACAGACCACACACUACACAGCCUCACACACCACACACGUAUACGGCACACAUCACAGAGAUGGAGGCACAAAACGAGUAGAGAUAGAGGCACAAAACUAGUAGACCACACACUCAGCGCACCCAGCCGUACCCAGCAGCCUCACUCCCUCCCUCACGCCUCACUACCUCCCCCUCAAACCUCAAUGAGAGACCACACAGUGCACUCCAGCCUCUGCUCCCCUUCUUCACGCCUCAUGGGUCACUGCCCCACCCUCAAGUCAACACUCAACACAAGUAGAAACACACACACACACACACACACACACAGCCGCAGCCAACACACGCUCGCCACAAUCACCGCCGACGCCAACCGCCAGCCGAUCUACUGCUCUGCGAGGACCGCGACCAGAUCUGCUGCUACCGCUUAUUGACUAUUGUCUCCGCACCUCCACACACUUCAUUACCAAGUUUCUCCUCUAAGUUCCAUACAAAAUCCAGCAAACGGCAGCCCAAUUUUUGUUUCGAGUUUGGAUUUUUGAGUUUAGUUCAAAUACAAAUAAUUGUAAUGUGUAAUAUAUUAUAUAACGUAUGUUAACGUUGAUUAGGAAUUGGUUUUGUUUAAUUCUCCAUAUUCCACUAUAAGUGAGGAGAGGAUAGGAAAAGAAAAGAAAAAAAAAAGGCAGCAUUUGAUUUCUAGUAACACCACACCUACAUAAUAACGAAAAUAAAUUGGGCCAUCGGGG
RNAcentral lists this long non-coding RNA (2353 nucleotides) under Citrus sinensis (sweet orange). RNAcentral describes it as "long non-coding RNA (CSIN_LNC004330)". Lineage: Eukaryota; Viridiplantae; Streptophyta; Magnoliopsida; Sapindales; Rutaceae. The record is from RNAcentral.